This 1199-nucleotide ribosomal RNA is filed under the name Bemisia tabaci. Its description in RNAcentral is "large subunit ribosomal RNA". Lineage: Eukaryota; Metazoa; Arthropoda; Insecta; Hemiptera; Aleyrodidae. The record is from RNAcentral.
UAAUAUAAAGAGUUUACACCCAUAAAAAUUUUAUUAACCAAUCAAAAACUAAAAACUAAUUAAAAUUAGACUUAUAAAAAAUAUAAUUAAAUAUAAAAUCAAAAGUCUAUAUAAGUUUAAUGUAAGUAAAGAUAUACUUCUUUUACCUUUUGUAUCAGGGUUAAUUAAUAAUUAAAAGGAUACUUCAAUGUCUCGAAAUUUAUUAACAUAUAAAAAUUUUGUGUUAUUACCAUCUAAAAGGUAAAAUAAAUAAAUUUUUAGAUUUGAGAUAAAAUCAUGUUUUAAAUAUCUAGUUAUUAAAUAAGCUAAUUUAAUUAGAUAUUGUUUUAUUUUUAAAUAAUCUAAAUUACAAAUUUAAACAAUAAAAAACUUUAAAAGUUAACUGUUAAAGUAAAAUAAAUCAGAACAUUUCUAUAUACCUAAAUAAAGUUAAUACUAUUUAAUAUAAAAACAUAUAAAAAUAUAGAAAUUCAAUUUCAAAUUUUAGAUAAAAAUUAUCUCAACAUUUAAUUAAAUCUAAAUUAAACUAAAUAAGCUAAAAUGAUUAUAUAAAUAUACAAUUUAUAUUUAGAUUAAUAAUUAGGCAAUUAACUAGUUUCCACCUGUUUACCAAAAACAUAGCCUAAAGAAGAAAAUUUUAGGUAAGUUCUGCUCAAUGACAAAUUUAAAUAGCUGCAGUAAAUUAACUGUACUAAGGUAGCAUAAUAAAUUGCUUUAUAAUUAAAAGCUAGAAUGAAAGAAACCAUGUGAAACAAACUUUUUAAACUAAAAAAGUAAAAAUUAAUAUUUAAGUGAAAAAUCUUAAAUUAAAUCAAAAGACAAGAAGACCCUUUAGAACUUUACAAAUCAACUUAUUCUCAUUAAAUUGACUUGUUAAGUUGGGGAGAUUUUUAAAUAAAUAAAUCUUUAAAUAUAAUAAAAUGAUUUACCUCAAAUUAAAUUAUCCAGAUAGGAAUUAAAACAAGUUACCUAAGGGAUAACAGCGCAAAAUUUUUGAGAAGCUCUUAUUCCCAAAAUAAAUUGCGACCUCGAUGUUGGAUUAAGAAUAACUUAUAAAGAAAAAUUUAUAAGAAUUGGUCUGUUCGCCCAAAUAACUCUUACAUGAUCUGAGUUCAGACCGGCGUAAGCCAGGUCAGUUUAUAUCUUUGAUUAAUACCACUACACUACAGUACGAAAGGACCUAGAAAAGUAAAUUUUUU